Molecule: ribosomal RNA, 253 nt
Filed under: uncultured bacterium
Lineage: Bacteria
Description: partial 16S ribosomal RNA
Rfam family: Bacterial small subunit ribosomal RNA
Source: RNAcentral
UACGUAGGGUGCGAGCGUUAAUCGGAAUUACUGGGCGUAAAGCGUGCGCAGGCGGUUUUGUAAGCCAGAUGUGAAAUCCCCGGGCUUAACCUGGGAAUGGCAUUUGGGACUGCAAGGCUCGAGUGCGGCAGAGGGGGGUAGAAUUCCACGUGUAGCAGUGAAAUGCGUAGAGAUGUGGAGGAAUACCGAUGGCGAAGGCAGCCCCCUGGGAUAACACUGACGCUCAUGCACGAAAGCGUGGGGAGCAAACAGG